Molecule: ribosomal RNA, 254 nt
Filed under: uncultured bacterium
Lineage: Bacteria
Description: partial 16S ribosomal RNA
Rfam family: Bacterial small subunit ribosomal RNA
Source: RNAcentral
UACGGGGGGAGCAAGCGUUGUUCGGAUUUACUGGGCGGAAAGGGCGCGUAGGCGGCCAGCACAAGUCAGUUGUGAAAUCUCCGAGCUUAACUCGGAAAGGUCAACUGAUACUGUGCGGCUAGAGUGCGGAAGGGGCAACUGGAAUUCUUGGUGUAGCGGUGAAAUGCGUAGAUAUCAAGAGGAACACCUGCGGCGAAGGCGGGUUGCUGGGCCGACACUGACGCUGAUGCGCGAAAGCUAGGGGAGCGAACGGG